Molecule: small nucleolar RNA, 84 nt
Filed under: Mollisia scopiformis
Lineage: Eukaryota; Fungi; Ascomycota; Leotiomycetes; Helotiales; Mollisiaceae
Description: Phialocephala scopiformis A. fumigatus snoRNA Afu_513
Rfam family: A. fumigatus snoRNA Afu_513
Source: Rfam by way of RNAcentral
CAAUAUGAUGAUACGGCACUGGGCUCUGAAUUCAUGAAAGAGACGCCAUUUUGUGGCAGGCCUAGAAAACCUCGCCCACUGAUU